Molecule: ribosomal RNA, 449 nt
Filed under: uncultured bacterium
Lineage: Bacteria
Description: partial 16S ribosomal RNA
Rfam family: Bacterial small subunit ribosomal RNA
Source: RNAcentral
AGCGAACGCUGGCGGCAGGCCUAACACAAGCAAGUCGAACGAAGUCUUCGGACUUAGUGGCGGACGGGUGAGUAACACGUGGGAACGUGCCUUUAGGUUCGGAAUAACUCAGGGAAACUUGUGCUAAUACCGAAUGUGCCCUUCGGGGGAAAGAUUUAUCGCCUUUAGAGCGGCCCGCGUCUGAUUAGCUAGUUGGUGAGGUAAAGGCUCACCAAGGCGACGAUCAGUAGCUGGUCUGAGAGGAUGAUCAGCCACAUUGGGACUGAGACACGGCCCAAACUCCUACGGGAGGCAGCAGUGGGGAAUCUUGCGCAAUGGGCGAAAGCCUGACGCAGCCAUGCCGCGUGAAUGAUGAAGGUCUUAGGAUUGUAAAAUUCUUUCACCGGGGACGAUAAUGACGGUACCCGGAGAAGAAGCCCCGGCUAACUUCGUGCCAGCCGCCGCCGUAA